CAGCGCUGCCAGAGGGAACUCUUCAGACGUCACGGAGGCCCCUCGGACGCCGCUUGUUUUUGGAUCCCGCCUCUCCGUUACUGCGGCAACCGCUGCUCUUCUCCAGGAACCUUUGGAAUAACUCGUUUCCAAGGGACCAAAUCGAACUCCUGGUUGAAGGACUCGCUGCUCUGGAGACGCGUGUCGUACUGGUUGUCUGUUCUCGUCCUCUUUCCAGGGGAGCUGCAGGAGGCGAUCUUCUGGUUUCGGUAUUUGGGGUCGGGGUUUUUGCAGCGCUUGUGGCCUUAAUUUCACAGUCAGCAUUUAAAAGAAAAACUGCAGCCACAAACCAGUUUUAAUUUGUCUAUUGUGCCUCGACACGUCAGUCAGGAUUUACAGUACACACCACAGAUGGACAGACGAUGACGUCCGGGCCGUAUUGACGCCUGAAGACAGAAUCGUAACUCAGCGGGAUCAUUUGAACGAUCUUCUUGGUGAUGCAGACGGAAGCAAAAUGUAAAAAAGUCGUUCCUGGAGUCUAAAGUUCGGCUGGAGAGCUCCACUUCCUACCUUUGUGACAGUCGGCUCCACCCAGAUGAGUUUCCGGUCUGUGCGCUGCGAGUUCUUUGUGCCACGCCGUGUUUGGUCCUCGUGGUUCCUUCCCUGCUGGUGUUUCUGACCCAAACCCUCUUUCUGGAUUGUUGCCUGGCAGGCCGUCUUCCUCUGAACCGAAUGUAUUUUGGUUGUAAACGAUUUUAUCAGACUGUCACUGAGUCACGCGCUCUUGAGUCCGACCUUCCUGUGUUUCGGUUCUCGUCACAUGCGACCUGAAUGAAACGAACCCUGACAUCAGCUCAGUCUGUGUAAUGAGUGAGGUGCAGCGUCUUCCUGUUGUGGAGAUUCUGAAUGCAGGAUUUUUAUUUGUUUGUUGCUGAGUUUUCUUGGAGCUCCUGACGGUCUGCUGAGGCUUCCACCUGCAGCCUGCAGCUUCCUGUUCCACCUCAAAUCUUUCAUCCGUAACUUUGCUUUGCUCAUUUUUCAGAUCUGUACUUCAGUAGAUAUUUUCCUGACAGCUUCUGGCUUCUUCUCUUUACAUCUGAACUUCCUCCUCCUCACAUUUCCAAAGCAGACUCGUUACUUCAGUUCGUUACAUCAGCAGACUGACGUCGACCUAUCAGAGCACAUCACACAUGGCAGCGAGACGAGACAAAGACGUAAAAGACGUAAGAAUCCGUAAACAGACAGAGAGGGAGGCUGGAAUGUGGAGAAAAGGCGUGUUAGU
Acanthopagrus latus (yellowfin seabream) is the source of this 1261-nucleotide long non-coding RNA. RefSeq lists it as uncharacterized. The transcript has 3 exons. Lineage: Eukaryota; Metazoa; Chordata; Actinopteri; Spariformes; Sparidae. The record is from RefSeq and is a predicted model, not a curated record.